This 59-nucleotide transfer RNA is filed under the name Pandarus rhincodonicus. RNAcentral describes it as "tRNA-Glu". Lineage: Eukaryota; Metazoa; Arthropoda; Copepoda; Siphonostomatoida; Pandaridae. The record is from RNAcentral.
GCUCUUAGAGUGUAAUCACGUCACAAUUUCAUUGUGGAAAUAGAUAUUUCUUGAGAGUU